UUUUAAUUAAUAAAUGUUUAAUUUGUUUUUCUGUUUGUUCCUCAUCAAAUUUGAGAAGGAACAAUUUUCUUCUACGAUUCCUCAAAAAAUAAGGAAUGAUUAGGAAUAGUGUGGGGUCUACAUGUUACAAUUUGGAAAAAAAAUACUACUGAAUGGUAAAAAAAAAGAGGAACAUGUUGUUCCUGUCCAUUCCUUUUCUAAAAAGUGGUCACCAAUCGGACCCUUUAUUGUGAUUUACUAACCUUUUCAGCGGUAAAAUAUUAUCGUUACACUUUCACAAAUAAUUUGCUAGUAACGUUAAGUGUUAGUGACUUAUAUGAGAUUGUUCAA
Molecule: small RNA, 330 nt
Filed under: Arabidopsis thaliana (thale cress)
Lineage: Eukaryota; Viridiplantae; Streptophyta; Magnoliopsida; Brassicales; Brassicaceae
Description: ATSL182390
Source: RNAcentral